CAUUAGGAAUAGUAAAGGUUGGAAGAGACCUCUGGAGAUCAUUGAGUCCAACUCACUGCUACAGAAGCUCCCUUGAGCAGGUUGCACAGGAAAGCAUCCAGGCGAGUUUUGACUAUUUCCAGAGAAGGAGACUCCACAACCUCUUCAGGCAGCCUGUUCAAGUGCUCUGUUACACUCAAGGUAGAGAAGUACUUCCUCUUGUUGGUAUAGAACUUUUGCUCAUGGCCCCAUUCACUUGACUUCUGCCCUUUAAGUAUUUGUAAUCACUGAUAUGAUCUCCUUUCAGCUUCUCUUCUCCAGACUGAACAGUCCAAGGUUUCUCAAUCUUGUCUCAUAAGGGAGGUGAUCCAGGACCCCAGUCAUCUUUGUGACCUUCUGCUGGACUCUCUCCCCAGUAACUCUCUGACUUUCUCAAACUGAGGAGCCCAGACAUGGACACAGUACUCCAGAUGUGGCUUCACCAGAGCAGAGGAUCGCCUCCCUCAACCUGCUGGCCGCACACUUCUUAAUGCACCCCAGGAUACCUUUGGCCUUCUGGGCCACAAAGAAUGCCUGAUGAAGAGCAGCAGAGACCCCCCAGAUGCCUGCAAGGACUCAUCUCUUGUUGGUUUUGAAUCCGAUAUCCUGGUACCUCUAGAGACUCUCCGCCCUGUUCGUUUACUUCCAAAGAGACUUUAUGAAUGAUCUUCGACAGAACCACACCUUUGGUUUCACACAUCUCAGAG
Long non-coding RNA from Lagopus muta (rock ptarmigan), 725 nucleotides. RefSeq lists it as uncharacterized. Lineage: Eukaryota; Metazoa; Chordata; Aves; Galliformes; Phasianidae. The transcript is spliced from 3 exons. The record is from RefSeq and is a predicted model, not a curated record.